RNAcentral lists this ribosomal RNA (1666 nucleotides) under Zea mays. RNAcentral's name for it is "eukaryotic LSU rRNA". It matches the Rfam family "Eukaryotic large subunit ribosomal RNA", at positions 1 to 1581 of the family's 3401-position model. Lineage: Eukaryota; Viridiplantae; Streptophyta; Magnoliopsida; Poales; Poaceae. The record is from RNAcentral.
UGGGCGACAUCAAGUUGUUCUCGGUGCAGCGUCCCGGCGCGCGGCCGGCCAUUCGGCCCUAAGGACCCAUCGAGCGACCGAGCUUGCCCUCGGACCGCGACCCCAGGUCAGUCGGGACUACCCGCUGAGUUUAAGCAUAUAAAUAAGCGGAGGAGAAGAAACUUACGAGGAUUCCCCUAGUAACGACGAGCGAACCGGGAGCAGCCCAGCUUGAGAAUCGGGCCGCCUCGCCGCCCGAAUUGUAGUCUGGAGAGGCGUCCUCAGCGACGGACCGGGCCCAAGUUCUCUAGAAAGGGACGCCUGGGAGGGUGAGAGCCCCGUCCGGCCCGGACCCUGUCGCACCACGAGGCGCCGUCAACGAGUCGGGUUGUUUGGGAAUGCAGCCCAAAUCGGGCGGUAAACUCCGUCCAAGGCUAAAUACAGGCGAGAGACCGAUAGCGAACAAGUAUUGCGAGGGAAAGAUGAAAAGGACUUUGAAAAGAGAGUCAAAGAGUGCUUGAAAUUGCCGGGAGGGAAGCGGAUGGGGGCUGGCGACACGCCCCGGCCGUAUGCGGAACGGCUCCUGCUGGUCCGCCGAUCGGCUCGGGGCGUGGACCGUUGUCGCCCGCGCCGGCGGCCAAAGCCCUGGGGCCCUAGGCGCCCCCGGCAGCCGUCGUCGGCGCGGACGGUAUCCGCGCGCCUCUGGCGCGCCCCUCGGGGCGCUGCACCGCAACGGCCUGCGAGCUCCCCAUCCGACCCGUCUUGAAACACGGACCAAGGAGUCUGACAUGCGUGCGAGUCGACGGGUUCAGAAACCUGAGAUGCGCAAGGAAGCUGACGAGCGGGAGGCCCUCAUGGGCCGCACCGCUGGCCGACCCUGAUCUUCUAUGAAGGGUUCGAGUUGGAGCACGCCUGUCGGGACCCGAAAGAUGGUGAACUAUGCCUGAGCGGGGCGAAGCCAGAGGAAACUCUGGUGGAGGCUCGAAGCGAUAUUGACGUGCAAAUCGUUCGUCUGACUUGGGUAUAGGGGCGAAAGACUAAUCGAACCAUCUAGUAGCUGGUUCCCUCCGAAGUUUCCCUCAGGAUAGCUGGAGCCCACACGAGUUCUAUCGGGUAAAGCCAAUGAUUAGAGGCAUCGGGGGCGCAACGCCCUCGACCUAUUCUCAAACUUUAAAUAGGUAGGACGGCGCGGCUGCUUCGGUGAGCCGUGCCACGGAAUCGGGAGCUCCAAGUGGGCCAUUUUUGGUAAGCAGAACUGGCGAUGCGGGAUGAACCGGAAGCCGGGUUACGGUGCCAAACUGCGCGCUAACCUAGAACCCACAAAGGGUGUUGGUCGAUUAAGACAGCAGGACGGUGGUCAUGGAAGUCGAAAUCCGCUAAGGAGUGUGUAACAACUCACCUGCCGAAUCAACUAGCCCCGAAAAUGGAUGGCGCUGAAGCGCGCGACCCACACCCGGCCAUCUGGGCGAGCGACAUGCCCCGAUGAGUAGGAGGGCGCUGCGGCCGCCGCAAAACCCGGGGCGCGAGCCCGGGCGGAGCGGCCGUCGGUGCAGAUCUUGGUGGUAGUAGCAAAUAUUCAAAUGAGAACUUUGAAGGCCGAAGAGGAGAAAGGUUCCAUGUGAACGGCACUUGCACAUGGGUAAGCCGAUCCUAAGGGACGGGGGAAACCCGACAGAUAGCGCGAUCA